AUUUGCGUAGCCGACAGGCCAUAGCAUCAAAGGACAAACACCGACAAAAAUACAUUACAAAUAUAGAUACCAUAAAAUCUUAUGACCUAUUAAAACCCUAGGUAGAAACUGGAUUAUCAUUCAUCAAUGACCCUCUGUCCCAUGGGUGGCGGCCUUUUCUCUGGUAGAUUGUUCCAGGUCGGUUAAGUAAAUAGACCAGCCAAAUUGCAAGAUU
This is a non-coding RNA of Podarcis muralis (Common wall lizard), 214 nucleotides long. The record is from RefSeq and is a predicted model, not a curated record. Lineage: Eukaryota; Metazoa; Chordata; Lepidosauria; Squamata; Lacertidae.